GCGGGAGUAGUACAAUGGUUAGUAUUCUAGCCUUCCAAGCUGGACAUGCGGGUUCGAUUCCCGUCUCCCGCU
This 72-nucleotide transfer RNA is filed under the name Endomicrobium sp. Its description in RNAcentral is "tRNA-Gly". It matches the Rfam family "tRNA". From Rfam's summary of the family: Transfer RNA (tRNA) molecules are approximately 80 nucleotides in length. Their secondary structure includes four short double-helical elements and three loops (D, anti-codon, and T loops). The record is from RNAcentral. Lineage: Bacteria; Pseudomonadati; Elusimicrobiota; Endomicrobiia; Endomicrobiales; Endomicrobiaceae.